GAUGAACGCUGGCGGCGUGCCUAAUACAUGCAAGUCGAGCGAACAGAUGAGGAGCUUGCUCCUCUGACGUUAGCGGCGGACGGGUGAGUAACACGUGGAUAACCUACCUAUAAGACUGGGAUAACUUCGGGAAACCGGAGCUAAUACCGGAUAAUAUAUUGAACCGCAUGGUUCAAUAGUGAAAGACGGUUUUGCUGUCACUUAUAGAUGGAUCCGCGCCGCAUUAGCUAGUUGGUAAGGUAACGGCUUACCAAGGCAACGAUGCGUAGCCGACCUGAGAGGGGGAUCGGCCACACUGGAACUGAGACACGGUCCAGACUCCUACGGGAGGCAGCAGUAGGGAAUCUUCCGCAAUGGGCGAAAGCUUGACGGAGCAACGCCGCGUGAGUGAUGAAGGUCUUCGGAGCGUAAAACUCUGUUAUUAGGGAAGAACAAAUGUGUAAGUAACUAUGCACGUCUUGACGGUACCUAAUCAGAAAGCCACGGCUAACUACGUG
This 497-nucleotide ribosomal RNA is filed under the name uncultured bacterium. RNAcentral's name for it is "partial 16S ribosomal RNA". It matches the Rfam family "Bacterial small subunit ribosomal RNA", at positions 28 to 507 of the family's 1533-position model. The record is from RNAcentral.